RNAcentral lists this ribosomal RNA (433 nucleotides) under uncultured bacterium. Its description in RNAcentral is "partial 16S ribosomal RNA". It matches the Rfam family "Bacterial small subunit ribosomal RNA", at positions 29 to 507 of the family's 1533-position model. The record is from RNAcentral.
AACGAACGCUGGCGGCAUGCCUAACACAUGCAAGUCGAACGAAACCUUCCUGUUUUUUUGCGCUCGUGUGCUUACCGCCUGGUAACCUGCCCUUAGGUUCCCAAUAACUCCCCUUAAGGUAUCCUAAUACCUGAUAAUCUCUUCCGACCAAAGAUUUAUCGCCUUUGGAUGGGCCCUCGUUGGUUUCGCUAGUUGGUAGUGUAAAAGCCUAUCAAGGAGAGGAUCCAUAGCUGGUCUGAGAGGAUGAUAAUCCACAAUGGGACUAAGACACGGCCCAGAAUGGUACGGGAGGGAGCAGUGGGGAAUAUUGGACAAGGGGGGAAAGUGUGAUAAAGCAAUGCCGGGGAAGUGAUGAAGGGGGUAGGAAAGUAAAGCUGUUUUAGACGGGAUGAGAAUGACAGUAAUGGGAGAAGAAGCUCCGGCUAACUACGUG